RNAcentral lists this ribosomal RNA (271 nucleotides) under Mesorhizobium sp. RNAcentral describes it as "partial 23S ribosomal RNA". It matches the Rfam family "Bacterial large subunit ribosomal RNA", at positions 2596 to 2861 of the family's 2925-position model. The record is from RNAcentral. Lineage: Bacteria; Pseudomonadati; Pseudomonadota; Alphaproteobacteria; Hyphomicrobiales; Phyllobacteriaceae.
GUACGCGAGCUGGGUUUAGAACGUCGUGAGACAGUUCGGUCCCUAUCUGCCGUGGGCGCUGGAGAAUUGAGGGGGGCUGCUCCUAGUACGAGAGGACCGGAGUGGACGCAUCACUGGUGUUCGGGUUGUCAUGCCAAUGGCAUUGCCCGGUAGCUAAAUGCGGAAGAGAUAAGUGCUGAAAGCAUCUAAGCACGAAACUUGCCCCGAGAUGAGUUCUCCCUGACUCCUUGAGAGUCCUGAAGGAACGUUAAAGACGAUGACGUUGAUAGGU